AANCUUUUAAGUUAAAGAUUGAGGGUUCAACCCCCUCCCUAGUGA
Molecule: transfer RNA, 45 nt
Filed under: Equus sp.
Lineage: Eukaryota; Metazoa; Chordata; Mammalia; Perissodactyla; Equidae
Description: partial tRNA-Lys
Source: RNAcentral